GAUGAACGCUGGCGGCGUGCCUAAUACAUGCAAGUCGAGCGAACAGACGAGGAGCUUGCUCCUCUGACGUUAGCGGCGGACGGGUGAGUAACACGUGGAUAACCUACCUAUAAGACUGGGAUAACUUCGGGAAACCGGAGCUAAUACCGGAUAAUAUAUUGAACCGCAUGGUUCAAUAGUGAAAGACGGUUUUGCUGUCACUUAUAGAUGGAUCCGCGCCGCAUUAGCUAGUUGGUAAGGUAACGGCUUACCAAGGCAACGAUGCGUAGCCGACCUGAGAGGGUGAUCGGCCACACUGGAACUGAGACACGGUCCAGACUCCUACGGGGGGCAGCAGUAGGAAAUCUUCCGCAAUGGGCGAAAGCUUGACGGAGCAACGCCGCGUGAGUGAUGAAGGUCUUCGGAUCGUAAAACUCUGUUAUUAGGGAAGAACAAAUGUGUAAGUAACUAUGCACGUCUUGACGGUACCUAAUCAGAAAGCCCCGGCUAACUACG
RNAcentral lists this ribosomal RNA (495 nucleotides) under uncultured bacterium. RNAcentral describes it as "partial 16S ribosomal RNA". It matches the Rfam family "Bacterial small subunit ribosomal RNA", at positions 28 to 505 of the family's 1533-position model. The record is from RNAcentral.